Molecule: transfer RNA, 98 nt
Filed under: Actinomadura coerulea
Lineage: Bacteria; Bacillati; Actinomycetota; Actinomycetes; Streptosporangiales; Thermomonosporaceae
Description: tRNA-Ala
Source: RNAcentral
CCUGCUUGUGGCCCGGCGGGGUGAAGGGCACCUGCUGUUCGCGGUGGUAGGCGGCAAGGGCGUCCAGGACGGGGGCUUCCGAGUGGUCCAUGGGGGGC